Molecule: transfer RNA, 77 nt
Filed under: Glycocaulis profundi
Lineage: Bacteria; Pseudomonadati; Pseudomonadota; Alphaproteobacteria; Maricaulales; Maricaulaceae
Description: Glycocaulis sp. ZYF765 tRNA-Pro
Rfam family: tRNA
About the family: Transfer RNA (tRNA) molecules are approximately 80 nucleotides in length. Their secondary structure includes four short double-helical elements and three loops (D, anti-codon, and T loops). Further hydrogen bonds mediate the characteristic L-shaped molecular structure. tRNAs have two regions of fundamental functional importance: the anti-codon, which is responsible for specific mRNA codon recognition, and the 3' end, to which the tRNAs corresponding amino acid is attached (by aminoacyl-tRNA synthetases). tRNAs cope with the degeneracy of the genetic code in two manners: having more than one tRNA (with a specific anti-codon) for a particular amino acid; and 'wobble' base-pairing, i.e. permitting non-standard base-pairing at the 3rd anti-codon position.
Source: RNAcentral
CGGGGCGUGGCGCAGCCUGGUAGCGCAUCUGCUUUGGGAGCAGAGGGUCGUUGGUUCGAAUCCAGCCGCCCCGACCA